UGGGGAAUAUUGCACAAUGGGCGCAAGCCUGAUGCAGCCAUGCCGCGUGUGUGAAGAAGGCCUUCGGGUUGUAAAGCACUUUCAGCGAGGAGGAAGGGUUCAGUGUUAAUAGCACUGUUCAUUGACGUUACUCGCAGAAGAAGCACCGGCUAACUCCGUGCCAGCAGCCGCGGUAAUACGGAGGGUGCAAGCGUUAAUCGGAAUUACUGGGCGUAAAGCGCACGCAGGCGGUUUGUUAAGUCAGAUGUGAAAUCCCCGCGCUUAACGUGGAACUGCAUUUGAAACUGG
This 288-nucleotide ribosomal RNA is filed under the name uncultured bacterium. RNAcentral describes it as "partial 16S ribosomal RNA". It matches the Rfam family "Bacterial small subunit ribosomal RNA", at positions 355 to 636 of the family's 1533-position model. The record is from RNAcentral.